This is a long non-coding RNA of Culex pipiens pallens (northern house mosquito), 777 nucleotides long. RefSeq lists it as uncharacterized. Lineage: Eukaryota; Metazoa; Arthropoda; Insecta; Diptera; Culicidae. The record is from RefSeq and is a predicted model, not a curated record. The transcript is spliced from 2 exons.
GAUUCGGUAUAAAAAUCCUCAGCAACGCAAGGGUCACUAUCAGUCGAGUGUCGUUAAUCGUCCCAAACGUAGCCUCUUAUUUGAGAAGUACCUUCUUCCUUCGUGAACCCGGUAGACCAAAUUCAAAAUCCCCAAGCCAAAAUGAAAUUCCUGAUCAUGACCAUCUGCCUGGUUGUCCUGGCCUUCGCCCUGGUCAGCGCCCUCCCGGCCGUCAACGACGAGAGCAUCUUCGGUGGAAUCGACACCGGAGCCGCCGACGACACCGUGAACCCCCAGGACCCGCAGGCCAUCCUGCUGAAGAAGCUGCUGCUGAAGAAGAAGCUGCUGCUGCUGGGUUAAAGCGCCACUCCAAAACUCUGCCAUCCCACACGGAGAGGGGACGUUCCGCGUCGGUUGAGAAAGUUUGCUCCGUGGACAGCCCUGCCCGGUGCAGGAGGUCAGCGGAUAAAUCUACGCGAUCGUAGCAGGACGGAGCCCUCGGGGCCGCACUAGCUUUACAACAACAAAAAAUAUUUUUAAUUUAAUAAUUAUCCCCCCUUUGCCCACUUUUGAGUUCAGUAUGCGAGAUUAGGCUGCGAAGAAAAGUAUUUUUUUGGUUUGUUCGUUUUUCGCGAAUUUUUAAGGAAAUCCCCCUUACGGUAUGUUUGGGAACGAGUGCAAUGUACGAUACUCUUAAAACUGAGUUUUUCUUUAGUUUUGCACAACGAUGCAACUGCCAGUCAAAUAGCUCCAAUGUACAAUCGAAAUAAAGUCUAAGAUUUUUUACAACUGAAACAA